CAGUAGUCACGUAGUUGAUCAGUGGCUCAGAACGACGCUGGCGGCAUGCCUAACACAUGCAAGUCGAACGAGACCUUCGGGUCUAGUGGCGCACGGGUGCGUAACGCGUGGGAACCUGCCUUUAGGUUCGGAAUAACUCAGAGAAAUUUGAGCUAAUACCGGAUAAUGUCUUCGGACCAAAGAUUUAUCGCCUUUAGAUGGGCCCGCGUUGGAUUAGCUAGUUGGUGGGGUAAAGGCCUACCAAGGCGACGAUCCAUAGCUGGUCUGAGAGGAUGAUCAGCCACACUGGGACUGAGACACGGCCCAGACUCCUACGGGAGGCAGCAGUGGGGAAUAUUGGACAAUGGGCGAAAGCCUGAUCCAGCAAUGCCGCGUGAGUGAUGAAGGCCUUAGGGUUGUAAAGCUCUUUUACCCGAGAUGAUAAUGACAGUAUCGGGAGAAUAAGCUCCGGCUAACUCCGUG
Molecule: ribosomal RNA, 462 nt
Filed under: uncultured bacterium
Lineage: Bacteria
Description: bacterial SSU rRNA
Rfam family: Bacterial small subunit ribosomal RNA
Source: RNAcentral